UUCCAUUAGAGAAGACUAAAUUAUAUUUUGUUACUUGCUAUAAGAGAUUUAUAAUUGGGGAAAAUCUUAACUGUGAAACCAUUAAUCUACAGUACAGUAUUGUAGCAUCAAAAGCAAGACGUUGCCUUCCUGUCCCCAGGACAUUCUUUGUUAGAAAAUCAUUUGUUUUACUCAAAGGAGGCCUUUUUUCUUUUAUAUUAAAGAGUUAGUCUUUUUUCCUUGUGGCUGCAUCUACUCUCAGGAGAUUCUGAUGAAGCAGUUCGGUUCAGAAGAGUUUGUAGCAGAGCGUCAGUUUGCAGGGAGAAACCUUUAGGCGUGCUGGGGGUCUGGCAGUCAAUCGCCGCCGCUCGGCUGGAGGAAACGAGGUGAGGCUUUUCCCAGAGUACCAAGGCAAAGACUUUACCUCCGUGCUCGUACCCCCUCGCUCCAAGUACCACUUCUGUGGAUCUCCCGGGAGCAGCCGUUUCUGCUCGACAGAAGCCUGGGAAGGCCGGUCCGAAAGGCGAACAGGGAGCCGUAGUCCUGUAGGGAAGGGGGCUCAUCGCUGCGCUCCAUUAAUAAGAGUGAAAACUGCUGCAUGGGAGCCUUCGAAAAGCAACAUGCACCUUCUACAAGGUUACGUCGGAGUGAAAUAAACCACUGGAGUUAUCCCAAUAAAUUAUAGUAAUGGUGCCUGGCA
RNAcentral lists this long non-coding RNA (679 nucleotides) under Apteryx owenii (little spotted kiwi). RNAcentral describes it as "lncRNA (ENSAOWG00000015405.1)". The record is from RNAcentral. Lineage: Eukaryota; Metazoa; Chordata; Aves; Apterygiformes; Apterygidae.